AAAAAGUUUUAUUCUGGCUUAAUAAUUAUAUUAAUUUUUACUUCACAUGUAAAUUUAAUUUUGAUUUUAAGGCGUUUUUAAUAAAUGUCUUAUUUUUAAUUCGCAGUGGAUAGAUCUGGACAACCAAUGGAAAUUGGGUCUGGUAAUAAAUUUUAGUACUAACAAAAUUUGUGCCAGCAGUUGCGGUUACACAAAUAGUGCAGUUUAAUUUUUACGGAUACAGUUAAUUUUAUAGAAAAAUUAUUAUAUGGAAAUUAUUAGGUGAAAUUUUUAAUUUUUUUAAAAUUUGUUAUUAAUGAGGCUGUGAAAUUUUAAAUUUAAACUAGGAUUAGAUACCCUAUUAUUUAAAAUGUGAAAGUUUUUCCAGAUAAUUAUUAGUUAUGGUCUUUAAAAUCAAAGAUUUUGGCGGUAUUUUAGUCUAUUCAGAGGAACCUGUCCAGUAAUUGAUAGUCCACGAUUAGAAUUACUUAUUCUAAAUGUUUUCAUAUCGUCGUAAUUUGAAAAUUUUACUAGAAUUUAAAUUUUCAAGAUUUUUAUUAGAAAAUAUAUCAGAUCAAGAUGUAGCUUAUGAAUAAGUUGAGAUGGGUUACUAAAAGUUUAUUUUUGGAUUAUAAUUUUAAAUUUUAUAUGAAAUUGGAUUUGAAUGUAAUUUUAACUAUAUAGUUAAAAUGAUUUAAGCUCUAAAAUAUGCACAUAUCGCCCGUCACUUUCACUUUAAAGUGAAAUAAGUCGUAACAAAGUAGGCCUACUGGAAAGUGGGCCUGGAAAG
This 769-nucleotide non-coding RNA is filed under the name Xystrocera globosa. Lineage: Eukaryota; Metazoa; Arthropoda; Insecta; Coleoptera; Cerambycidae. The record is from RNAcentral.